Molecule: non-coding RNA, 555 nt
Filed under: Pongo abelii (Sumatran orangutan)
Lineage: Eukaryota; Metazoa; Chordata; Mammalia; Primates; Hominidae
Source: RNAcentral
GAAUCCUAGGGAGCGGGUAAAGGACUAGGAGAGGGAGCAAGAUGGGCUCCGCCACGAGAUCCGGCUGAAGUCCGGCCAGGCGCCGGCCUCAACUGCAAGAGGAAGGCCGCCCCUCUCUCCCCAAGCUGAAACACCAGAAGAGCCAUACUCGGCCGUUCCCAACCACCGCCAGUUACCGGCCGCCAGCGAAGACCCUUUCAGCUUCCGCACUCCAUUGGCCUCUUGCGGUCAGGUCACGCAGCCGGAAGCCGCCCCCGGAAACGGAAGUCAGGCUACGAGUCACGGUGGCUACGAGUCACGGUGGCUCCGCGCUGGCGGCGGGUUCCCGCAAAAGGUCUUGGGGAAAGGAGCAUGCGCUGGAAGCUGUGUGCUGUUGGUUUGAGGAUCUUCAGUAAGCUAAAAGCGGAGAGUCAGGGGCCUUCUGCCCUACCAUGGUAUUUGCUAACGUUUAGAGAGUGCUUCCCCUUGCCGAGCACUGGUUCUUGAGGCUGGAAAGUCCAAGAGCAUGGCACUGGCAUCUGGUGAGGGCCUUCCUGUUGCAUUAUCCCAUGGCAG